Non-coding RNA from Oryza sativa Japonica Group (Japanese rice), 2713 nucleotides. The record is from RefSeq and is a predicted model, not a curated record. NCBI's taxonomy places the organism in Eukaryota, Viridiplantae, Streptophyta, Magnoliopsida, Poales, Poaceae.
AAAUCCUUCUAUCCCCAUUGUUGUACAGAAGAAACCCUUAGGCCUUUAGAAAUGUCGUUCUUUGAUUUAUUAUGUACCAUUGUGACAGAUUCCCUUAACCUGUAUUUUUAAUGGUGCAAGUUACUUAUUAUCAAGCAUGUGAUUCAAUAAUCCCUACUGAUUAAGCAUUUAAUUGAAUUUAGCCUGCUACAGUGGUUAUGGGAUGGUUGCCUGCUGCCCCCAAGUCCACGACAUACACAUAUUAAAGUUGUCCAUAUUUAGGUUCAUGCUUAGCUUUCCAUAAUACUCCAUUGUGUACUCAUCUGCUUGCUUUAUGAUUUUGUUUUGCCAUUUUGUAUAAAUAUCUAGGAGUGGUUUGGUGAUGGGGAUGGAUGCGGUGCCUGACACUCUAACACCAACACCAUUUUCUCAGCUAACUUAGGGACAAAUGAGACAGAGAACAGGCCAGGAAUCUCCAUGUCAGUGUUUUGUCGUCCAUUUCAACGACCCGUUAACAGGAGGCUUGCAUUUAACCCUAUCAAUCCUGCUACUCCAAUAGAUCAACAUUUUGUCUCCUCAUCAGAUGGCCCAACAGUGCCAGGUGUUCAGUCCCUUCCUGCAGUGCGCGGUAAAGGUCCUUUGGAUAAUAUUGGUUUGAGACUGCCUCGACCAGAUCCAUCUAUUGCUACGGAAGCACGCAAGAAGCGUAAAGUCACAAUGGUUUUAAGGAGAGGACAUAAGUUACCCAUAUCCAAUAUUUUCUCCUUCAACUAACUGGCUUAUUUGUUGCUUCCAUUGGUUCCUACAUUUCUAUUUGAUUUCGUUCAGCAAGUGCUGAUUCGACCAAUCUAUAGCUCCUCAAUUUGUGAUUGUUACAUUAGGAGCUGGACCUGAUGAUUUCUCAUCUUCAUAUCGAUGUGUUCAACGAUGUAUUUCCCCACAAGUUAAUGCCAGGCAUUGUGAUGUGCGGAUAGCCAGGAAUAAUGGGAUGAGUACUACUAUUGGCGCUUCUCCUUCAUCUCACAUUGCCCAAAAUGACACCUCCUUGCAUAGGGUGAAUACAUGUCAACGAAGCCGUGUAGGGCGGUCCAGAGCUGAUGGAAAUUUUGUACCCCUUCUUGCCAGUCGACAUCGCCCUGAUCAUGAUGCUGCUCGAUAUUCAGGCUCAACCUCCACAGUUCAUGUUCCGAAGUAAUUUUUGCUGCUCAACACUAAUGUUCUAUCUCGAUGAUCGUAAAGCUUCUCGACAAUAAUACUCCACCCAAUGAUCUUUUUUCUAUGGUACUAUUUUCACACCUCUCAAUUUAGGAGGCCCUACCCAUACUUGCCAACAUUGUGGUGCUCGAUUCUGGUAUGAGGAACGCGUACGUGGGUGUGGACGAACAGCUUUGCAAAUUUACAACAAAUGCUGUAGAGGAGGGAGCAUUUAUUUGCCUCCAUAUAGGCCACCACCAGAACCUUUGCUCUCUCGUUUAACUGGACGAGAUCGUGUUUUGUCCAACCACUUCUUUGAAAACAUCAGACGAUACAAUUCUAUGUUUGCUAUGACAUCUAUGGGUGUAAAUAUCAUCAACUCAAUUAAUGAUGGUCAUGGCCCUUACAUUUUCAAGAUUAGUGGGCAGCUAUGCCACCGAAUUGGAUCGCUUAUUCCAAAGCAUGGUGCAAGACCAGAAUAUUGUCAAUUAUACAUAUUUGACACUGAGAAUGAAAUAAGAAAUAGAGUGGCUGUUGCUUCACAUAGAGAGAUGAGUUUUGAACCAAAUGAGGAUAUUGUUGCAUCUUUGAUGACCAUGCUCAAUGCACACAACCCAGUUGUUCAGCUCUUUCGAACUGCUCGUGAUAGGCUGCAUGAUCAGUUAGAGGAUCAUUACUCAGUGAAGUUAUUUGCCACCCCCAAUGAACAUGGUAAUAUCUACUCAGCCCCAGUUGCAUCAGAGGUGGUUGGUUUGAUGGUUAAUGAUAUAGGCACUACCGAGAAAGGUCGUGACUUAAUAGUAGAGGAUCACUCAUUGCAGCUUCAAAGGGUAAAUGAAACUCAUUGCAAAUUUAUGGCAAUGCAAUACCCGCUAUUGUUUCCUUAUGGAGAGGAUGGUUUUCAUGAAAAUCUCAAGUAUAGACAAUGUCACCGCUCAGGAAUGAUCAAACGGAAGAAAGUUAGUUUGGUAGAAUACUUUGCAUAUAGAUUGCAUGAUAGAGAUGAUGACUUCAACACCCCAUUGCGUGCAAGAGCUCACACAGUCAUAUGAGGUUGAUGGUUUUUGUUGUGUCAAGGAUAGCCGCUUGAACCAUUAUAGGAAAAAAAAAACUUUUCAGCUGAAGUAUAGGAGUAGCCCCUAUAAAGCUUUACUUGAUACAGUCAGUAGCGGCAUUAUUGAUGCUUCAUCGGUAGGCCAGAGGAUUAUUUUGCCAGGUUCAUUCACUGGAAGUCCACGCUAUUACUACCAAAAUUACCAAGAUUGUGUGGCUCUCUGUCGUAGAUUUGGAUGCCCGGAUCUUUUCAUCACUUACACGUGUAAUGCUGCUUGGCCAGAGAUAACAGAAGCUUUAGCAUUUAUACCAGGACAACAACCUUCUGAUCGGCCCGAUAUUGUUGAUCGAGUUUUUGAAAUGAAGCUCAAGCUGUUUGUUGAUGAUAUAAAAAAAAUAUGAGUUCUUUGGUCCCAUACUCGGAAGUUAGCUCGUUUAAUUACUAUGUUUUAAUUCUUAUGUUUUAAUAUGAGUUCUUAUGUUUUAA